Molecule: long non-coding RNA, 5895 nt
Filed under: Sus scrofa (pig)
Lineage: Eukaryota; Metazoa; Chordata; Mammalia; Artiodactyla; Suidae
Description: lncRNA (ENSSSCG00040054650.1)
Source: RNAcentral
CUUUUUAGGGCCACACCUGUGGCAUAAGGAUGUUCCAGGCUAGGGGUCGAAUUGGAGCUCUAGCCACCAGCCUACACCAGAGGCAUAGCAACACUGGAUCCAAGCUGCGUCUGUGACCUACACCAGAGCUCACAGCAUCACUGGAUCCUUAACCCACUGAGCAAGGCCAGGGAUUGAACCCUCAACCUCAUGGUUCCUAGUCGGAUUUGCUUCCGCUGCUCUACUACAGGAACUCCUGUGUUUGCUUUCUUAAGUUUCCCAAUUAAAGCAGCUCCAGAAUACUUAUAGUUUUAUAUUAAGAAGUCCAUUUAGGCUAGUGGUAUUAUUUAACAAAAAUAUUAAAUAACAUGUUACUUUUAUUAUUAUUUAUAACUAUAGGCAUAAAAUACAAGUCAUUUAUUGAACGGAUAGAUGAAAAGAUGCAUAAAAAUAAUGGGCAGAAUGGUCAAAAUAAGAUUACUGAUGAACAUGAAGUUUCCUGAUAAAAACAAACAAACAGAAAAAAAAAAAAAAAUGAGAUGGAAACAAAAAUCCAAGGCCUGUUCUGAAAAUGCCAUGUAGUUCAGUUUACUUAGAAAAUAGGUUGUAGUGGAACAAAGGAAGUUUGGAAAGAGGGGCAGGAAAAAAUGCAAAUAAAAUUUGGUAAAAGUUGCAGAGUCACUGAAUAUACAAUUUUACAUGACAAUAAUUCUUUUUUUUUUUUUUUUUAAAGGGCUACACCUGAGACAUGGCAUUUGGUGAUCAUCUCCCAAAACUGCACUUGUCUGCAGCACAGACUCUAGAACUGCCUGCCCUGUUUACACACUCUCCUGGUUUUAUCAACUAUACCCUCCAUGACUUGAAACAAAUUGCUUCAUUUUAAAGGAAUUAAAAAAAAUUCCUCAGUUUUGUUAUCUCUGAAAUUAGAAUAACAAUUAUAAUAUUUUCCUCAUAAGGCUGUCUCAGGAUUUCAUUAUUACAGUAUCUGAUACAUUCACUCAACAAAUAUUAAUUGAUUGCCUAUUAUGUGGUAGACACACAAUUUUCUUUUCUUUUUUGUCUUUUGUCCAUUUUUAGAGCUGCACCCAUGGUAGAUGGUGGUUCCCAGACUAGGGGUCUAAUUGGAGCUGUUGCUGCCAGCCUACACCAGAGCCAUAGCAACGCCAAAUCCGAGCCACAUCUGUGACCUACACCACAGCUCAUGGCAAUGCCAGAUCCUUAAUCCACCAAGCAAGGCCAGGGAUCGAACCCGCAACCUCAUGGUUCCUAGAUGGAUUCAUUUGCACUGCUCCAUGACAGGAACUCCUAGACACAAUUUUGAAUGCUAGAGAUAUAAAAUUAAACAGGGAAAAUCUCUGCUUUCACAGACUCUAGUGAAUGUAAUUGUUAAAGAAAUAUUGGUUGAGAUUAUUAAUAAUGAUUAUUUAAGAUUUAGCUUAAACGUCCUUUCUUCCCAGAAACCUGACCAUACUUCUGUCUGAUCCAUUAAAGUGACACUCUCACCUUCUGUCUUCACACCCACUGUUUUAAAACCCAAGGCUUUUCAUUGCAAGUGAUUAUAACCUCCUCUGAUCCUUUUGGGCAAGACAGACCCUGGUUUAUUUAUCCUUUCCUUGCCAGCUCCUAGCAGAAUAUAUAGCCCACAGUUGGAGCACAAAAAGUAUUUGCAGAACAAUGGUACAUGACAUUUCAGAAUCAUCUCGACAGAAUCAACACAAACCUAUUCCAAACCAUCUGUACUUUAAACUUCCUGUUUUAAUACUGCAGUCCAGCUUUUUGUCCUAAAUGAUUCUUUAGACUUAAUGACACUUGAAAAAUUACCUUAACAUCUGCCGCUAUAGGCUCAACAUUGAGGACACUUGCUGCAUGUUGAAGAUGCAGCAAAUGACAUGCCACCCUAAAAUAGGAAUCUCAGUUUUAAAUACCUCAGACAUAUAUGCAUACAUACAUAUCUUUUGCUUGUCACAUUCACUGCCGUAUCCCCAGACCAAUACCUGGCAUACAGUAGGUAUUCAAUAACAAUUUGUGGAAGAAAAGAAGAAAGGAUAGGAGGAGCAAUAUAAAUGUCUAGUUUGUUUUAUUAAGAUAACCUGUGUUCUUCCAAGUACAGCUAAACCUAAUCUAAAUACAUAUAUGUUUAUAAAUGUAUUUAUAUAUAAUAAAUGUUAUAAAUACACUUCAUAUGCUAAAAAGAGAUAUGGUAUGGAUUUUAUUAUACAUAAUAUAUAUUUUUAUAUUUAAAUAUGACUUGUCCUGUUUUGGCUUUUAUUUAGAAUAAUAUUAGUAUUUCUUCUUAAAUUUAAAGAUGUACUCAUUUUGCUAGAGACUCUCAUACUAAGUGAAGUAAGUCAGAAAGAAAAAGACAAAUACCACAUGAUAUCACUUAUAUCUGGAAUCUAAUAUAUGGCACAAAUGAACUUUUCCACAGAAAAGAAAAUCAUGGACAUGGAGAACAGGCUUGUGGUUGCCAAAGGGGAGGGGUAGGGAGUGGGAUGGCCUGGGAAUUUGCGGUUAAUAGAUGCAGACUAUUGCCUUUGGAAUGGAUAAGCAAUGGGAUCCUGCUGUAUAGCACCAGGAACUAUGUCAUGUCACUUGUGAUGGAGCAUGAUAAUGUGAUAAAAAUGAGUGUAUACGUAUGUGUGCCUGGGUCACCUUGCUGUGCAGUAGGAAAUUGACAGAACACUGUAAACCACCUACAAUGGAAAAAAAAUAAAAAAUCAUUAUUAAAAAAAAAAAGAUGUACCCAUUUUGGAUUGAAAACCAAGGGUGAAAUAAAGUUUAUUUCAUUAAAACAUCAGAGUAGUGGGAAUAAGAUUGUUCAGUCUCCAGUUAAACUCUCACACAUUUAGCACACAGUGGCUUUAUUCUGUUGUCUGUGAAAACUGACAUAUCGUUAUGUCACACAGCUACAAACCUAUAGACACAGAAAAAUAAGCAGUCACAUUGCAAAAGUCAUAUGCUGAUUAACAUAUGUUAAUAACCUAAAUCUCUUCCCCUGAAUUAAGCUCUUCCUCUCUCUACACAGACAAAUUGACCCAAAUAUUUAGGUCAAAAUCUAUGUAAGGGAGAAUAAGCUGAAUGAAAACGACAUUUCAAGGGAGAGGAAAAGGUAAAAUAUUGUACUGAGUGGACUAUGAAUGACUUUAAGGGUCAUAGAUGGGCACCUGGCUUUAAGAAUCAUGUAUUUAUGCAAAUUCUAAUUUUGUGCAUAACCAAACACUUCACUUGCCUGUGGGUUUUACUUACCAGUCAGGCAAUUCUUAGAUGUCAAAAAGCUGAGCCAGGGCUCUCUACCUCAAACACUUGUAGGGGUGGGGUAGGUAAGGUAAUUUACUAUUCAGUAACUAUUCACAAUUUGAUUGUGUCAGGGCUAGACAGCUUCAACCAGCUGUCACCAUCCCAAGUAUGGGUCCACUUUGCUAUGCAUGCAGACAUUUUGAGAGAAUAGGGAAAACUUCUUUUAUACAUGAAAUCUUGUAUUUUUUUUUUAAAUUGCAAUUAAUUUAAUUUUUCAAUAAAGAGAAACAGACUUUGCACACUAAAUAAUGAAGACCUGGAGUUUGGCUUCUAGUCUGGACUAUAAGGGGAUGGGAUGUGCAGACAUACCUGACACACGAACAACAAAAUUUGGGUUUCAAUUUUCAAGGCUUAACAGGCUUCUGUUCUGAUAGAUAAGUCUUACAGUUUAAAUUUGUUUAUUUCCAUGAUUUUCUCCUCUGAAAGCACCUCAUGACAACAGCAGAGUAUUAAAGGGUUGGCUCAGAAGGUCUAGAUUGCUGACUAUGAACAUAUACCCAGUAAGCCAAUUAUCUUGUUGUCUCUAAAGGAUGCACUAAAGUAAUUGCUGAGUAUAAAUAACAAACUACAAAGCCAAACCAGAAACAUGUGAACAGAUCCCUAUGUGUAAUGUACACCCAGGGACAGUUUUUGUAACAACUACAAGAAAACUACUUGAAAAAAAUUUUAUUUCAGUGUAACUCAUUCACCCCAGUUGAAAUGACUAUGAGGUUGGCAGAGAAAGCAUUUCUGUGCCCUUGAUUAACAUGGCAGAUGUAUUUCUAAUCUGCCCACUGUAAACAAAACCUCCACUCUCUCCCUGAGCUUUAUCAGGGAUGCUCUUCUGUGUCGCUGCCUGGCCUGUCUCGUCACAUGCUCUGACAUCUGCCAGUUCUGCGGCAGACACUGCCACUGUGAAGUCUAAGUUUAAACUGCUCCAUCCUCUGGGAAUAUCCUGAACGGAAAUUUCUCUGACACUCAGAAAAUUCAAAGUGUCGAAGUGAAACCUUACAUAGAGUUCAUAAAAUAAAGUAGCCUGCUUCUAAGGUCACUUAUUCUCAUUUACUGCGAAUCAGCAGAAAUUUAUCCAGAUUAUUCCAAAAGAAUCGGGGGUGCUUUUUAAAAUUAUGAAUGACCUGUGACCACCAUGAAGCCAUCUGAACUUUUGGCAGUUUCUGCAAGCCAGAUAUGUCAGAUAAUUUGUGUAUCUCCUUUUCUCACCAUAUAUUAAAGGAAAAAAAUCAAUUUUUAUACACUCUUGGAAGGAAUGUUGACAAGUACCAUGCACUAGUGAAAACACACACAAAGUUUUUAAAUUCCAAAAUAAAUUGCUGAAAAUGAAAAAAACACGAUGAUAAACUCAAGCUUUUGACCAGUAUAAAAAGCGUCAAUACAUUCAUUAAAGUGAACAAUAAUCUGUCUUGAUUUAUGAGUGCCAUUUGGAGGUUGGGUAUAUUUGCUAAGUAGUCAUUAAUAAAUAAAUUAUCUAUUCAUCCAAUGCAUAGUGGUCUACAGCAGGGAAGAGUUGAAUAAGCAAAGCCCUGUGUCCCACUUCUACGACAGAACAUCUAAUUCCUAGGAGGAAUAAGAACAAUACAUGUUAACGUAGGAUUUGUAAUUCUUGGACAUGCUCUCUCUCUCUCCUCCUUUCCUCCCUCUCCCCACUUCUCAUCAUUUUCUAAUUUUUUUUAUUUGCUUACAAACUCAAAUUCUGCUUCUUUAUAUGAUCCUCAGUUUAAGAUGAUACCAAAUUUUGCUUAUCCUCAAAACAAAAUUCUUCAUAUUCCUUCAUGGUAACACAUUUUCACUCUCCUUUCCUUUAGCCUGAACUGUAUUGAAAGAAUCAUCUGUAUUUCCUCAACUCUCCAACACCUUCUAAACCCCAAGGACAAGCUAGAACCACACUCGAAGGCCUCAAGGAAGAUAUGUAUUAGAUUCACUGGCCUUUCCAGUCAUGUAGCAUUAGUUCAUAGCACUGCUUGCCUUAAAAACUCCUUCUUUCCUUGAUCUCUUCCUACCUCUCUGCCUCUUCCUUGGCUUUUCCACCUCUUUUGUCUAAUGUGGACAUUCUCAUUAUAUCAGUAUAUUCCUCAUUCAUUGAUAUUAUCAUUAAUUAGUAUUCUUGAAUCAUCUUAAAACCCUUCAUUCAUUAGUGUUCUCUUCUUUCACCUUUAAUAGGUUCAACAAUCACAGAAGAUUAUUGAGUUGUUAAAACUCUAGAUAUAUUCUGGAUAUCUCUGGACUACUGGCAUAACACAGCAUUGUACGGGAGGGUAGAUUCUCCAGCUUGAUUUUAAACUAGGUUUAAAUUCCAGCUUUAGCGCUUAUUAGUAGUGAGACAGAGGGCUAAACAACCUCUCUAUGGUUUACUUUUCUCACAUGCAAAAUAAUCAUAGUGUCUACCUUGUUGGCGUGAGAAUGAAGUCAGUAUAGAUAAAAUGGUUGGGAUAAUACUAAAGAUACCAUAAACACUGAAUAUCUACAUUCUUGUUAUGUUUUACCCUUCUUUCCAAAGUUGGUCUUUCCCCUAACUUUUGAUUUCCUAUAGACUAAUUUAUUCUGCCUUUUUCUGGCUCAGCUCAGUGACCAACAUUUUCAUGCACAUUAAUUUACUUUCUUGCUUGAAAACUUCCAAUGGGU